AAAAGAAAUUCGGUGCAGGAUGAGUCCGCGUCUGAUUAGCUAGUUGGAGGGGUAAGAGCCCACCAAGGCAACGAUCAGUAGCCGGCCUGAGAGGGCGACCGGCCACAUUGGGACUGAGACACGGCCCAAACUCCUACGGGAGGCAGCAGUGGGGAAUAUUGCACAAUGGGGGAAACCCUGAUGCAGCGACGCCGCGUGAGCGAGGAAGUAUUUCGGUAUGUAAAGCUCUAUCAGCAGGGACGAAAAAAGACGGUACCUGACUAAGAAGCCCCGGCUAACUACGUGCCAGCAGCCGCGGUAAUACGUAGGGGGCAAGCGUUAUCCGGAUUUACUGGGUGUAAAGGGAGCGUAGACGGCAAGGCAAGCCAGAAGUGAAAGGGCAGGGCUCAACCCUGUACAUGCUUUUGGAACUGUGGUGCUAGAGUGCAGGAGAGGUAAGUGGAAUUCCUAGUGUAGCGGUGAAAUGCGUAGAUAUUAGGAGGAACACCAGUGGCGAAGGCGGCUUACUGGACUGUAACUGACGUUGAGGCUCGAAAGCGUGGGGAGCAAACAGGAUUAGAUACCCUGGUAGUCCACGCUGUAAACGAUGAGUACUAGGUGUUGGGGGCUGAAGCCUUCG
Molecule: ribosomal RNA, 619 nt
Filed under: uncultured bacterium
Lineage: Bacteria
Description: bacterial SSU rRNA
Rfam family: Bacterial small subunit ribosomal RNA
Source: RNAcentral